UUUUCUUGAUUCCAGAAGACA
RNAcentral lists this non-coding RNA (21 nucleotides) under Caenorhabditis elegans. The record is from RNAcentral. Lineage: Eukaryota; Metazoa; Nematoda; Chromadorea; Rhabditida; Rhabditidae.